RNAcentral lists this ribosomal RNA (253 nucleotides) under uncultured bacterium. Its description in RNAcentral is "partial 16S ribosomal RNA". It matches the Rfam family "Bacterial small subunit ribosomal RNA", at positions 524 to 776 of the family's 1533-position model. The record is from RNAcentral.
UACGUAGGGGGCAAGCGUUGUCCGGAAUCAUUGGGCGUAAAGAGCGUGUAGGCGGUCCGGUCAGUCGGUUGUGAAAGUCAAGGGCUCAACCCUUGAAUGCCGGCCGAUACUGCCGGGCUAGAGUCCGGAAGAGGUGAGUGGAACUCCUGGUGUAGCGGUGAAAUGCGCAGAUAUCAGGAAGAACACCAAUGGCGAAGGCAGCUCACUGGGACGGUACUGACGCUGAGACGCGAAAGCGUGGGGAGCGAACAGG